GUGUGUGUGUGUGUGUGUGUGUGUGUGUCGUUGACGUGCCUGCCAUGCUGAUGCACAGAAGCACAGGCCCACAGUGGGG
This 79-nucleotide microRNA precursor is filed under the name Tetraodon nigroviridis (spotted green pufferfish). RNAcentral describes it as "miRNA (ENSTNIG00000020217.1)". The record is from RNAcentral. Lineage: Eukaryota; Metazoa; Chordata; Actinopteri; Tetraodontiformes; Tetraodontidae.